CAGUGUGUCUUUUAUUCUAGGUCAGAGAAAAGGCAGACAUCCUUAAUCCCCUAAUCACUGCAGUAUUUCUAGAGGCCUCAAACAGUGCUUCCUAUAUUCAGGAUGCCUUUCAGCUGCUCUUACCUGUGCUGGAGAUCUCUCUCAUUGAGAAUAAAACUGAAUUGCCAGAGGCAUGAGCUGCAGGCCCAGGGCCUUCGUUAGAACAUUGAAGAACAAAGAAGAUUCAACCCAAAACUUGUGACAGCCAAGAAAUGCACUCUCUUUUGGGUACGCCUGAAGAAGUGAAGGAGAAAGGAUUAUUUUAGUAUAUAAAAUUUAGGCAGGAGAGCAGGUUUAAAUGAGGUUUGUUGCAUUCGCUGCUUGGCUGAAUUAUUCAGGUCUUCACAUUGCCCUUCCAAGUUGUUAGAAUUAUUAAAUUAUUUGAGAAGAAACUUUUAUAGAAAGUUCAAGAAUAAUAGCUCUAGAUAAAGGUUAAUGGGAUACUCAGGCAAAAAUAUUGGUCUUUCUUGGACAUGAUGCAAAACACUGUUUUGUUAUGGUUCCAUAUGAUUUUGUAGCCCACUGAUAUAAUUGGUUGUGGGGGAAGCAAGAGAGAAACAACUUAAUUUAGUAUUCUAGAAUUCCUGUGCUUGAUCUAUUGAUGCCAUGACCUUUCUCCUUUCUGUAAUAAAAUCUGUGGCUUUAAGGAAACAGUAUGUAGAAACUGUAAUGAUUACCUAAAUUCUUUGGACUUGGUUAGAAAGUUUCAUGUGCAAGUCUUUCAUUCUCAGUGAAUAUUUGGCAUGGAGGAGGAACAUCUGAAAUGUACUUGAAGCCACAUGAAUUAACUACAGCAAAGUGCCCUUUGGCUUCAAAUUGUUCUCCUACCCUAAGGUGACAAGUUUCAAGUUGUAGUUGAACCCCACUCAACUGGGUUCCAGACCAACAAGUGCAACUUAGAGAAACAGUUUCAUGUUGGCAGGUAUCCGAGUCUCUCCAGGAUGUUUUUCAUGCAUACCUUAGGUGCAGGAUAAAUUCUGUAAUAGCCAGCUCCAAAGGAGUAUUGGAGCUCUUUUAGUGAUGGGGUUUUUGUUAUUUGAAUAUUGUUGAAGGGGAUUAUAGUCCCAUAGAAAUCAUUUAUAACAGGAUUUAACCUGAAAGACACAAUAUGUUUUUCCUUAUUCUUUUUUGUUUUGUUUUAAUGUAUUCCUUAGCAUGUUUAUAAAUACAACUUUUAUCCUUUAAAUCUUAAGCCUUCUUUUGCUCUCUUCAACAAUGUAAGAGGCUAAUAAGGUGUUAUCUUCCGAAAAGUUGUUUGGUAUCCACUCUUUUUAAAAAAAUUCUCCAACUUUGUGGUUGGAGGUAACUUUGUGAGCUCUACCAUUCAUCUUCUAAAACCUUUAAAUAAAAUGUAAUAAUUAUA
Non-coding RNA from Leptonychotes weddellii (Weddell seal), 1402 nucleotides. NCBI's taxonomy places the organism in Eukaryota, Metazoa, Chordata, Mammalia, Carnivora, Phocidae. The record is from RefSeq and is a predicted model, not a curated record.